GCUGUAGCUGCAAGCAGCGCUUCAUGACGUCACCGGCGCUGUUGUUAAGCAACCUGGCCGCUGUCGCCCAGCAACCAAUACGUUUCACCAGAACUGAGCGCCCACGCAAUGAAAGAGCUCGAAACGGGCCGACAGCAGCGAAUGCUUUGGCGAAAUACGCAAAUCUACGUAAGAAACAAAGAGCAACAACAGCUAAACGAAUUUCUGGCAGGAGAUUUCGAGAUGAAAAUUGUGAGGUUUGGCAUUUACUAUGCCAAGUAUAUGUACAUCGUGCCAUAGUAUAUGGCCUAUAGUUAUGCAUAGUUUUCCGCAUGUUCUUUGUGAUUUUUCCUCACCUCAGUCCCGUUACGGUCUUGGCACAAUUAGCGCAACCUUGCCAACGUUUAAAUAUACCAAAUAACAUUUGGCAACGCCUUAUCUGCCACAGCGACGAGAACAGAAUGCAAACAAGAGAGAGAGAGAGAGAGGGGGGUAAAUAUGAAAUACUAUUCGAUUUAAAUAGGUUUUUUUUUUUUUGACUGUUUGUAAUUUACAAGCUAAUUACAUUAUUUUUCGUCUUUAUUGCUGUGGCACGUGUUGGCAACAGAAUUGUAUACCAUGUGCUCUCCCGCUUCCUCUCACUCUCGCGCUGUUGAGCUUUGGCACUCAUAUGUUUUUUGUUAUGGGAAAUUUCAUGUCAAAAGCUUUCUCUUUUUCGUAUGUUCGUUUUGGGCUAUUUACAUGCAUGAAAUAUGGCUAGUUCCUUAGAAUCUGCUUAGCAGUUUCUGUUUUCAAGGGUUAAUAGUACUUUAAGCAUCAUUUUUUUUUUUCUUUGCAUUGAUAAGAAUCAAGGCACAUUUAAGAGUGCCUGGUAAAUUAAGUGUUUAGAUUAGGCUUGUAAAUCUAAUAAAUCGCAAUCUUAUCGAUGUACAUUGAGAGCCACUUCUGUAGCCAAGUUUCGCCGAAUACUCUGAAACCCGAUAGCAACAGCAGCUGGGGCAUGGACACGUGACAGCCUGCUUUGCAACAUGCGGCACUAUUUGCAAAGCUUUUACACGCAACUCGACGAGGAGGCGCUUAUGAAAAUGAGGGGCGGACAUCGUAGGGGUUAAAUUUGUAGAUGAGUCAGCUGCCAAUUGCAUAUAUCAAUUUCCUGUUUAUGUGCGCAAUAUAUGUAGAAGAUAUCAAAUAUAUUUAGCAGCGAGUGAAGCCUACUAUAGUUUCAAGUGGGUUAUAAAACAAGUUCGACGAUUCUAUGUAGCUAUAAACUAAAUUCUUAGCUCAUA
Drosophila virilis is the source of this 1265-nucleotide long non-coding RNA. RefSeq lists it as uncharacterized. The record is from RefSeq and is a predicted model, not a curated record. Lineage: Eukaryota; Metazoa; Arthropoda; Insecta; Diptera; Drosophilidae.